RNAcentral lists this non-coding RNA (29 nucleotides) under Mus musculus (house mouse). Lineage: Eukaryota; Metazoa; Chordata; Mammalia; Rodentia; Muridae. The record is from RNAcentral.
UACAUAAGUUGUGCUGGAUUCUGAGUCUC